This 492-nucleotide ribosomal RNA is filed under the name uncultured bacterium. RNAcentral describes it as "partial 16S ribosomal RNA". It matches the Rfam family "Bacterial small subunit ribosomal RNA", at positions 29 to 507 of the family's 1533-position model. The record is from RNAcentral.
AGUGAACGCUGGCGGUAGGCCUAACACAUGCAAGUCGAACGGCAGCACAGUAAGAGCUUGCUCUUACGGGUGGCGAGUGGCGGACGGGUGAGGAAUACAUCGGAAUCUACUUUUUCGUGGGGGAUAACGUAGGGAAACUUACGCUAAUACCGCAUACGACCUACGGGUGAAAGCAGGGGAUCUUCGGACCUUGCGCGAUUGAAUGAGCCGAUGUCGGAUUAGCUAGUUGGCGGGGUAAAGGCCCACCAAGGCGACGAUCCGUAGCUGGUCUGAGGGGAUGAUCAGCCACACUGGAACUGAGACACGGUCCAGACUCCUACGGGAGGCAGCAGUGGGGAAUAUUGGACAAUGGGCGCAAGCCUGAUCCAGCCAUACCGCGUGGGUGAAGAAGGCCUUCGGGUUGUAAAGCCCUUUUGUUGGGAAAGAAAAGCAGCAGGUUAAUACCCCGCUGUUCUGACGGUACCCAAAGAAUAAACACCGGCUAACUUCGUG